GAUAAACGCUGGCGGCGCACAUAAGACAUGCAAGUCGAACGGAAGUCGUUGUAAUGAUGUUGACAAGAACAGAGAACUUGUUCAAAGUGAUUGAAGAUUGACUUACAACAAUGGCUUUAGUGGCGGACUGGUGAGUAACACGUAAGCAACCUGCCUAUCAGAGGGGAACAACAGUUAGAAAUGACUGCUAAUACCGCAUAUGCCUAAGUAUCACAUGAUACAAUAGGGAAAGGAGCAAUCCGCUGAUAGAUGGGCUUGCGUCUGAUUAGAUAGUUGGUGGGGUAACGGCCUACCAAGUCGACGAUCAGUAGCCGGACUGAGAGUUGAACGGCCACAUUGGGACUGAGAUACGGCCCAGACUCCUACGGGAGGCAGCAGUCGGGAAUAUUGCGCAAUGGAGGAAACUCUGACGCAGUGACGCCGCGUGCAGGAAGAAGGUUUUCGGAUUGAAACUGCUUUAGACAGGGAAGAAAAAGACAG
This 480-nucleotide ribosomal RNA is filed under the name uncultured bacterium. RNAcentral describes it as "bacterial SSU rRNA". It matches the Rfam family "Bacterial small subunit ribosomal RNA", at positions 28 to 457 of the family's 1533-position model. The record is from RNAcentral.